UGAGGAAUAUUGGUCAAUGGGCGCGAGCCUGAACCAGCCAAGUAGCGUGAAGGAUGAAGGUCCUACGGAUUGUAAACUUCUUUUAUAAGGGAAUAAAGUCAUCUACGUGUAGGUGUUUGUAUGUACCUUAUGAAUAAGCAUCGGCUAACUCCGUGCCAGCAGCCGCGGUAAUACGGAGGAUGCGAGCGUUAUCCGGAUUUAUUGGGUUUAAAGGGAGCGUAGACGGGUCGUUAAGUCAGCUGUGAAAGUUUGGGGCUCAACCUUAAAAUUGCAGUUGAUACUGGCGUCCUUGAGUACGGUUGAGGCAGGCGGAAUUCGUGGUGUAGCGGUGAAACGCUUAGAUAUCACGAAGAACUCCGAUUGCGAAGGCAGCCUGCUAAGCUGCAACUGACAUUGAGGCUCGAAAGUGUGGGUAUCAAACAGGAUUAGAUACCCUGGUAGUCCACACGGUAAACGAUGAAUACUCGCUGUUUGCGAUAUACUGCAAGCGGCCAAGCGAAAGCGUUAAGUAUUCCACCUGGGGAGUACGCCGGCAACGGUGAAACUCAAAGGAAUUGACGGGGGCCCGCACAAGCGGAGGAACAUGUGGUUUAAUUCGAUGAUACGCGAGGAACCUUACCCGGGCUUAAAUUGCAGAUGAAUUACGGUGAAAGCCGUAAGCCGCAAGGCAUCUGUGAAGGUGCUGCAUGGUUGUCGUCAGCUCGUGCCGUGAGGUGUCGGCUUAAGUGCCAUAACGAGCGCAACCCUUGUUGUCAGUUACUAACAGGUUCCGCUGAGGACUCUGACAAGACUGCCAUCGUAAGAUGUGAGGAAGGUGGGGAUGACGUCAAAUCAGCACGGCCCUUACGUCCGGGGCUACACACGUGUUACAAUGGGGGGUACAGAGGGCCGCUACCACGCGAGUGGAUGCCAAUCCCCAAAACCUCUCUCAGUUCGGACUGGAGUCUGCAACCCGACUCCACGAAGCUGGAUUCGCUAGUAAUCGCGCAUCAGCCACGGCGCGGUGAAUACGUUCCC
Molecule: ribosomal RNA, 1017 nt
Filed under: uncultured bacterium
Lineage: Bacteria
Description: bacterial SSU rRNA
Rfam family: Bacterial small subunit ribosomal RNA
Source: RNAcentral